Molecule: ribosomal RNA, 484 nt
Filed under: uncultured bacterium
Lineage: Bacteria
Description: partial 16S ribosomal RNA
Rfam family: Bacterial small subunit ribosomal RNA
Source: RNAcentral
AUCGAACGCUGGCGGCAUGCUUAACACAUGCAAGUCGAACGGCAGCGCCGGCUUUGGCCUGGCGGCGAGUGGCGAAAGGGGGAGAAAUACACCGGAGUGUGCCCAGCAGGGGGGGAUAGUACGGUGAAAGCAGGAUGAAUAAUGCAUACGACGAGAGGGUGCAAGCGGGGGAUCUUCGGACCUCGUGCUAUUGGAGCGGCCGAUGGCAGAUGAGCUAGUUGGUGGGGUAAUGGGCUACUAAGGCGGCGAUCGGUAGCUGGUCUGAGUGAACGGCCACCCACACGGGAACUGAGACAGGGCCCAGACGCCUGCGGGAGGCAGCAGUGGGGAAUUUUGGGCAAUGGGCGAGAGCCUGAUACAGCAAUGCGGCGUGUGGGAUGAAGGCCUUCGGUUUGGAAAGCACUUUUGGCGGGAACGAAAAGGACUGUGCCAAUACGACGGUUCGAUGACGGUACCGGCAGAAUAAGCACCGGCUAACUACGUG